AAAAAAAUUCCUAUGGACUUCCUUAAACAGCAAACUCAUCUGAGGCAUCUCAAUAUGAUUUCAGUUUUUAAAAUCCCACAAGUUUCUCCUCUUGAGGAAACCCUAUGCCAUGCAUCUGCUUGUGCUUUGCCCCUUGUUUAAAGCAUGUAGUCAGUGAGCAGAAUGCUUCAGCCACUGCUUGCUCCAGAUUGUGAUAAACACUCCUGGCAUGCUCCCUGGGAGACUGUGCUAGCUUUCUGCCUUUGCCUUCCUUUUCCCUGCACUUCCCUGACUUCCUUCUGGCUAUAAUACAUUAACAGGGACUCCAGGCCACUCACACCCAGAAGGAUAGAAGUCAGUCACCCUGUCUACACACACACUGUGCUCACCUCCUGAACUCUGGACUGAGUUUCUCUGGGGACAGACUUUGGUCUGAGAAUUUAGUGCCUACACCCAGGUCCCCCAGUCCUCUUCUCAGCUAAACUCCUUGAAUUUGUUUUUUAUUUUGUUUUUCUAAGCUGAUCGUACCCUAUUUUUCAUACUCCUAGGGACAGUGUCUUCAUUAAUAAUAAUGAUGGUGAUAAUAAUGAUGAUAAUAACAACAACAACCAUAUUAGAAAGGAAAAAUAUUGAAACUUGCUUCCAUCCCAUUCGAAUAGAGGACUUUUCCAUACCACCUUCAGGGAGUUAUUUGGUCCUUCCAAGGAAAAGAAGAUGAAAGUAAAAAUGGCCUAAGACCAGCAGUCUAGGAAGACAAGAGACUGGAGCUGUGUUUUGCUUUUAAAGUGAUCUCUAAAAAGUAUUUUUAUCUGUCUGCCCAUCCAUCCACCCAUCCAUCGGUCUAUUUGUGUGACAGUGUCUAUGUGAGUCUAUGUCACGUAUGCGCUUUGGAUCUUCUGGAACUGGAGUUACAAGAUUCCAGGAAUGAGCCACCGUCCACAUCCAUAUGCCUACUCUUCACCAGCUAUUACAAACUACUAAAAAAGUACAGGUAGAUCUUAUAAAAGAGAAGUACAGUGAAGAGAAGUGUGGUGGCUUGCCCAAAAGACGACACAGUUCUGGGAGAGCAUGCCACCUCAGGCUUUUUGCAUUGUUUUUGUUGUUGAUAAUGAUGUUUAUUUUAUUUUUUGUACCUUUGAAAGCCUGUCUUUUGCUGGUCACAAGAUUGUUCUGAGAAGUAUAUAAAAUACAAAAAGUAUUUUCAAGCAUUCUAAAGCCCAGAGUCAGCAUCUACAGCAUAGAGUUCAGGGAAGAGAGAGUAGAACUGUUCCUGACAGGUCGCAUGUCUUAAGAGUUCAGCAUGGUACAGUCAUAUUAAGCUGGUUUAUAACAACUUGAAGGACUGGAGUUACCAGGACCUACUCAGUGUCUGUUCCCUGUAAGGUGCCCUUGCUAAGACCCCAUCUGUAAUUGCAGGUU
RNAcentral lists this long non-coding RNA (1398 nucleotides) under Cricetulus griseus (Chinese hamster). RNAcentral describes it as "lncRNA (ENSCGRG00015038421.1)". Lineage: Eukaryota; Metazoa; Chordata; Mammalia; Rodentia; Cricetidae. The record is from RNAcentral.